Molecule: ribosomal RNA, 466 nt
Filed under: uncultured bacterium
Lineage: Bacteria
Description: partial 16S ribosomal RNA
Rfam family: Bacterial small subunit ribosomal RNA
Source: RNAcentral
GACGAACGCUGGCGGCGUGCUUAACACAUGCAAGUCGAACGGAAAGGCCCUGCUUGCAGGGUACUCGAGUGGCGAACGGGUGAGUAACACGUGGGUGAUCUGCCCUGCACUUCGGGAUAAGCUUGGGAAACUGGGUCUAAUACCGGAUAGGAACCAUCUUUAGUGUGGUGGUUGGAAAGUUUUUUCGGUGUAGGAUGAGCUCGCGGCCUAUCAGCUUGUUGGUGGGGUAAUGGCCUACCAAGGCGGCGACGGGUAGCCGGCCUGAGAGGGUGUACGGCCACAUUGGGACUGAGCUACGGCCCAGACUCCUACGGGAGGCAGCAGUGGGGAAUAUUGCACAAUGGGCGCAAGCCUGAUGCAGCGACGCCGCGUGGGGGAUGAAGGCCUUCGGGUUGUAAACUCCUUUCGCUAGGGACGAAGCUUUGUUGUGACGGUACCUAGAUAAGAAGCACCGGCUAACUACGUG